GUUGAUGUAUUUUUUUAUUGGAUUAUUGGAUUUUGAUCCGCAUUCCCGGCGGUUGAAGUUGCAGCUAGAGUUCUAAGAGUUGCAGUCAUUAUUUCUGCUUUACUUUAUUCUGCCUCUUCUUGCAAGCCUCUUGCUGUUCCUGAGUCCGUGUAAUACAUUAAGCGUGUGUAAGAAAGGCCUAAUCCUUUUUUUUCCGAAAGGGUUAGAACCGGCGGAAGUUCCCCACGCCAAUCCCAUUUUUUUUAGCAAGUUC
This 253-nucleotide long non-coding RNA is filed under the name Ricinus communis (castor bean). RNAcentral's name for it is "long non-coding RNA (RCOM_LNC002757)". Lineage: Eukaryota; Viridiplantae; Streptophyta; Magnoliopsida; Malpighiales; Euphorbiaceae. The record is from RNAcentral.